AUACCAUGCAGUCGACGGGAUCUGACCAGCUUGCUGGUUGGUGAGAGUGGCGAACGGGUGAGUAAUGCGUGACCAACCUGCCCCAUGCUCCAGAAUAGCUCUUGGAAACGGGUGGUAAUGCUGGAUGCUCCAACUUGACGCAUGUCUUGUUGGGAAAGUGUUUAGUGGCAUGGGAUGGGGUCGCGUCCUAUCAGCUUGUAGGCGGGGUAAUGGCCCACCUAGGCUUCGACGGGUAGCCGGCCUGAGAGGGCGGACGGCCACAUUGGGACUGAGAUACGGCCCAGACUCCUACGGGAGGCAGCAGUGGGGAAUAUUGCGCAAUGGGGGAAACCCUGACGCAGCGACGCCGCGUGCGGGAUGAAGGCCUUCGGGUUGUAAACCGCUUUUGAUUGGGAGCAAGCCUUUUGGGUGAGUGUACCUUUCGAAUAAGCGCCGGCUAACUACGUGCCAGCAGCCGCGGUAAUACGUAGGGCGCAAGCGUUAUCCGGAAUUAUUGGGCGUAAAGAGCUUGUAGGCGGUUCGUCGCGUCUGGUGUGAAAGCCCAUCGCUUAACGGUGGGUUUGCGCCGGGUACGGGCGGGCUAGAGUGCAGUAGGGGAGACUGGAAUUCUCGGUGUAACGGUGGAAUGUGUAGAUAUCGGGAAGAACACCAAUGGCGAAGGCAGGUCUCUGGGCUGUUACUGACGCUGAGAAGCGAAAGCGUGGGGAGCGAACAGGAUAGC
Molecule: ribosomal RNA, 721 nt
Filed under: Gardnerella vaginalis
Lineage: Bacteria; Bacillati; Actinomycetota; Actinomycetes; Bifidobacteriales; Bifidobacteriaceae
Description: bacterial SSU rRNA
Rfam family: Bacterial small subunit ribosomal RNA
Source: RNAcentral